Molecule: long non-coding RNA, 122 nt
Organism: Etheostoma cragini (Arkansas darter)
Lineage: Eukaryota; Metazoa; Chordata; Actinopteri; Perciformes; Percidae
Exons: 3
Source: RefSeq, a predicted model, not a curated record
UCGGCCAGCAGAGAAAUCAAAGUCAGUGUUUAAUUCUUCCAUGCCUGCCUCUGUGCCCCCUAUGAUGUAGAGAUGGAGAUGGACACAGAGAUUGUCCUGUUUGUCCACAUAGUCGGGAUCGU